GACGAACGCUGGCGGCGUGCCUAAUACAUGCAAGUAGAACGCUGAAGGAGGAGCUUGCUUCUCUGGAUGAGUUGCGAACGGGUGAGUAACGCGUAGGUAACCUGCCUGGUAGCGGGGGAUAACUAUUGGAAACGAUAGCUAAUACCGCAUAAGAGUAGAUGUUGCAUGACAUUUGCUUAAAAGGUGCAAUUGCAUCACUACCAGAUGGACCUGCGUUGUAUUAGCUAGUUGGUGAGGUAACGGCUCACCAAGGCGACGAUACAUAGCCGACCUGAGAGGGUGAUCGGCCACACUGGGACUGAGACACGGCCCAGACUCCUACGGGAGGCAGCAGUAGGGAAUCUUCGGCAAUGGACGGAAGUCUGACCGAGCAACGCCGCGUGAGUGAAGAAGGUUUUCGGAUCGUAAAGCUCUGUUGUAAGAGAAGAACGAGUGUGAGAGUGGAAAGUUCACACUGGGACGGUAUCUUACCAGAAAGGGACGGCUAACUACGU
RNAcentral lists this ribosomal RNA (494 nucleotides) under uncultured bacterium. RNAcentral's name for it is "partial 16S ribosomal RNA". It matches the Rfam family "Bacterial small subunit ribosomal RNA", at positions 28 to 506 of the family's 1533-position model. The record is from RNAcentral.